RNAcentral lists this ribosomal RNA (374 nucleotides) under uncultured eukaryote. Its description in RNAcentral is "partial 18S ribosomal RNA". It matches the Rfam family "Eukaryotic small subunit ribosomal RNA", at positions 592 to 976 of the family's 1831-position model. The record is from RNAcentral.
UAAUAGUGUAUAUUAAAGUUGUUGCAGUUAAAAAGCUCGUAGUUGAAUGUUGGUGUCGAACGAGCGGUCAGCUUCGGCUGUACUGAUCUCUCGACUCCUUCCUUCUGUGGACUACGUCGCACUUUACUGUGUGGCGCUAGGACGCAGAUCGUUUACUGUGAAAAAAUUAGAGUGUUCAAAGCAGGCCGUACGCUUGAAUACAUUAGCAUGGAAUAAUGGAAUAGGACGUCGGGCCUAUUUUGUUGGUUCUAGGACCGUCGUAAUGAUUAAUAGGGACAGUUGGGGCCGUUUAUAUUCCGUAGUCAGAGGUGAAAUUCUUGGAUUUACGGAAGAUAAACUACUGCGAAAGCAUUCGGCAAGGAUGUUUUCGUUAA